UGGGGAAUUUUGGACAAUGGACGCAAGUCUGACGCAGCGACGCCGCGUGAGGGAUGACGGCCUUCGGGUUGUAAACCUCUUUCAGCAGGGACGAAUUUGACGGUACCUGUAGAAGAAGCACCGGCCAACUACGUGCCAGCAGCCGCGGUAAUACGUAGGGUGCGAGCGUUGUCCGGAAUUAUUGGGCGUAAAGAGCUCGUAGGCGGUCUGUCGCGUCGAAUGUGAAAACCCGGGGCUCAACUCCGGGCUUGCAUUCGAUACGGGCAGGCUAGAGUUCGGUAGGGGAGUCUGGAAUUCCUGGUGUAGCGGUGAAAUGCGCAGAUAUCAGGAGGAACACCGGUGGCGAAGGCGGGACUCUGGGCCGAUACUGACGCUGAGGAGCGAAAGCGUGGGGAGCGAACA
This 402-nucleotide ribosomal RNA is filed under the name uncultured bacterium. RNAcentral describes it as "bacterial SSU rRNA". It matches the Rfam family "Bacterial small subunit ribosomal RNA", at positions 355 to 774 of the family's 1533-position model. The record is from RNAcentral.